UUUCCAAAUUUUUCUUCUUUUCAUCCUAGAGGGCCUAUGUUUCAAAAAUAAUCCCACAUGCAACCACUUUAAAGCAGUCUUGCUUUUGUUAAAACAAUUCUGCCCAUUCUAUCUUCCCCUUGCCCUGCACGUGCUCCUGGCAGCACCCUCAAGGCACAGUCAAAUGGGAGCUGCUGUUAGUAAGGGAGUUCCCCAGGCUCUCUGAAAACUGGCAUCUGGGGCCUCAGAACAGAGUAUGGCUUAAAGAUGGGCAGUAAUUCCCAUGCAGGGAGCAGAGGGCAGGGUGUUGUUGUUGUUGUUGUUUUUCCUUUCCCCAGGGAAGAUAGAGCAUCGUACAGAAAUAAGAUAAGAUCUGAGGCACAAGGCACAAGAAAGGGCAGGUUGAGCACAUUUCAUAAGAGCAAAUGUGGAAAUGAUGGGCCCAGUGGCCUAUAGGGUUGGGUAAAAGACACAAGUGGCUGGCCAUAGAAAUGGCAGGGGUAAGACCUAAAACCCUCAUGUGGGCCUUGCCUGGCUCAGGUACCAUUUCCAGUUCCUCCACCAACCCCUCAAACUGAAGCCCUUGAAUUAUCUUCAUCCUUCAGAUCUCUGGGAAAGAAAUGUCUCCUGCAAGCCACCUCAGAUCCAGUUGUCAUGCACCUGUUCCCACUGUGGCCUCUGGCACUUUAUUAGCUCCUCUAAGAAAGAGGUUUUUAAACUUAAGGUUAUGACCCACUCUCAAACUGUGAAAUCAAUUCAGUGGCUCCAUCAGCAUUACAAAAAUGCCAUCAAAAGAAUAGAAGCUAUCAGAACAUGGUCCCAUGUAAUGACAAUGUGUAUUAUUUUGCAAAACUUAUUUUAGAGAUGUGCGCACACACAUUCACACGUGAAUAUGUGCAGGCUCACUGUAUAAAACAUAGUUUUGAUUAUGUCUGCUGUUCAACGUUGUGGAUAAACAUAGCUCUAAGAGACUUAGCUUGCUGACAUCUAAGCUAAUGUCUUUCCUCUCCUGCUCAUAUAAAUGGACAGGAGUAAUACAUGUUGUGUUAUCUCCAGCACAUGCUUGGACUUGGGUAUCAGAUAAAGCUGGGUUCAAAUUCUGGUUCCAUUAUUUGUAGUUGUAUAAAUUUGAGAUGAUAUCUAGAUUUUGAUAAGGAUAAUACAUUCUUUAUGAGAUAGAUGCAAAGAUUCAACAAAUCAUUGACUUGAAAAUGCUAAACAAGAUUUGUCCAGUGCAGAGAAAAGACAAAGAACACAUAGAGGUUACCAAUCAGUGGAAAGACUAAAAUAUCCAUCAGUCCAUUCAUUCAUUCAUUCAUUCAUUCACUCAUUUAUUCCUCUAUCCACUGACCCAGCAUAUUUAUUAACACCUGCUAUGUGCCAGGGAUUGUUUUAAGCACAGAACAAACUUGGUACUGAUCUCAUGGAACCUUCAGCCUACUAAGAUAAUUAAAAUACUUAACAAAUCCAAAUAAUAAAAAGUACUAUUACAAGAACAAAUAGUAAAGUUGACAGAAGACAAAAGAGAGGAACUCACAUAGAGAAAAGAGGUUUGUCUGAAGAAAUGAGAUUUAAACUGAGAUCAGAAUGAUGAGAGAGAGCCAUCCAUGCCCUGACAGAUUGGGGAAGGAAAGAGGGUAGUUUUCCAGGCAAAGAUAAUCAUGGCACAUACAAAGGGCAUAGGAGAAGAAGGUUAGCAAGUCUGAAGAACAGAGAAGAGGCCAUUGUGUCUGGAGCAUGGAGGGCAACUUUAAGUUGGGACUGUUGUGACUGGAGUGAUCACAACAGAGUGGCUGCAGUGUGGAGAAGGGAGGAAGAGGAUGGGAUAAAAGCAGGAAGACCAAUAAGUAGGUAUGUGAGGAUGAGGUAAUUGUGGGGAUGUCAGGAAGAUUGAUGUGGCUUGAAGAGGAAUGGACGGUCAUAGGGUGGGAAGCAGGGGUGAAGGCGAGGAGUCUGGAAACUUAGGCUAGAGCCUCAUUGUGAAGAAGCUUGAACACCAAGAUAAGACAUUGAAUAAGGUGUUGACUCUGAAAGAGCUCUGAAAAUUCAUGAAAUGCUACACAAAGAUGAAAUUUACAUGACAUUCACAGGGGGUGUCAGAAGGGUGAGUUAACAAACAGCUUCUCUGUUUCUGACACCCUAGAGUGAUCUAUUGACACCAAACAUGAGUUCCCUGCACCCUUGGGGACCACUCGAAACACUCCCAAACAAUAGGAUCUCCCUGCUGCAAAGUUCCUUCUGCCAAUUUAGGAGCUCAGAAUUACUGUGUAACAGCUUCCUUCUUCAGGGAACACAUGUUGAUUACCUAUUUUUUAUUCCCAGAUUUGUGAGUGAAGCAAGCCCAUGGUUGCUGUGCAUUAGCUCUCCCUAAGCUUUUAAGAGCUCAUUGCCGUCCCAAGGAUUACGAACCUCAGUGUGGUGUAGUGAGUUCAAAUCCCAGCUCUGCAUCUUACUACAAUAGCUCUCAUGUUGGAGUUUUCACCUGACUCAGCCAUACUCCAGCUGUGUUACCUUGAGCAAGUUACUUAACCCCUCUUUGCUUUGGUCUCCUCCUCUGUACAGUAGGGAUAACAUUAGUACACACCUCAUAGGGUUAUUGUGAGGUAUAAAUGACACAAUUCAUGGCAAGUUCCCAGAAGAGUGGUAGAAAUCAGCUGUUGUCAGCAGCAGCAGCAACAGUAUCCUAGCCUAAUCAAUCCUUCCAUCCAUCUUCUACUCAGGAUUAAUUACAAAUGGCUUAAUGAGAUUCAAGUUUUAUUGCAAGAACUUGGUCAAAGCAGAUUUCCAGUAUUCUGGGGCUCAUCGUGCCACUGACUACUGAAACAGACAUCCCAGGCUGGGCUUCUAAAGAACUCAGGAGGCAUCAUCUAAAACAUGGUAGCAGCUUAGAUGACAAAAGUGAGCCUUUCAAGAGGGGUUUUGCCCUUCAAGGCUGAAAAGUCAGUGACAGGACACACAUUUGGCUCCAGAAUCCUGUUUGUCUGCUGCAUGCUGCUACAAUCAUCUUGAAAUGUUCGGUGUGUCUGGAGAGUCGGCAGAAUGAAGAGCCUUCAUCCUUUGCUCAGUACAUUAUUCCCUGGGAAUGUGUUGCAGAUUCACAGGGCUGAUGUGAGAUCCCUAAUAUUGUGCCAACCUUAAAAUACUGUGCCAACAACAAAGCCUUCUGAGGUCAGAAGUAGGGAAAAGAGAGGAAGGUGGAGGCCAGUGAGAGCCUGGUCAACACUAAUACAUGAAAAAUAAGUUUCAUAUGGGGAGGGAGCUUCUGAAGGGAGCUGGCAGCAUAGUGGGUCUGAUGCUGGCUUCUUUAGAAAUCAUGGGUGGGGGUUAGGGGAGUUGGUGUGGGUGAGGGUCAUGGUCAGGGAUUGCUGAUCUAUCACCAAGACAGAGUCACGUUGGUGAAGGCUUCCCUUUGCACCUGCUCUACCACAGUGCUCUUCACCUUUGUCUCCAUCACCAGAUCUCUAUUUCCUUUCCUUGCUUUAACUUUAUGUCACUUAUCUCUCACUUUUAUUAUAUUACACACUAAUUUGUUAACUUUGUUCAUGGCCUUAAUAGAAUGGAGCUUCCAUAAUGUAGGGCCUUUUGUUUUGUUCAUUACUGUCUUCAGCACCAAGAACAGCACUUAGUGUUUUGUCAAUGCUUAGUAAUUCUUUUUGGAGUGUAUGAAUAGAUUAAUGGAUGCAGGGAUGGGUGGAUGGAUGGAUGGAUGAAUGGAUUACUGGAUGGAUGAAUACAUGAGUAAAUAGAUAGAUGUCUCUCAGAAUGGUUUAGUAGCUCCUCAAGGACAAUAACUAGAUAUGAAUUAUUUAUUAGCCUAUACCCGAGGACCGAAAAGGCUGGAAGAUAUGUAGUGAAUAAAGAAAACAUUGCUGUUAGUUCCCUUUUGGUGCCCAGGUAAGGGGUACUGGGUAUAGGGAUAAUGAAGACACAAAUGUGAUAACUAACUGUUAACUCCUCUCUCUCUACUGUUGGACCAAAGAGGAAGAGGUGGUCUGAAUUCCAAGCUUGUUUAGUCAUUUAUUUAUUUAUAAAUACUUAGGGAGAUACUGAGCCAGAAAGUAAAGGGGUGAAAGGGAUGUCAGAUGCAACUCUUCAAGCACAAUCACUUUACACAGAAAGCAACCUGAUAGCUGUAUCUAUUUGUUAUUACUAUUACUAUAUCUAGAUGGAAAUCAUAGGACUUUAGUGAAAGAGGGUGUCAAUAAUGUGGCUCAAAAAACACUGGAUUUGGGUUCAAAUUCUGACUGGGUGAUUAGAUGUACAUUCCUUGGCUAGCCAUGUUACCUUUUUCAGCCUCAGUUUCCCCAGGUUUAAAAUGAUCAACAAUAACAGGUGCCUUUUCCUCUUUAUGUAAGGACUUCAUUGAUAAUCAUGUUUUUAAAAGAACUAUAUAUGUUAUAGAGUAAUUUACACCCAUCAGAACUUUGUAUAUAGGUGUUUGUUAAAGAGAGGGACUCCAAAAACCACAGGUAACUCAAGCAGAGUAACUUAGGCGCAAAAGAAACAAAGCUGCAAAUCUGCCAGCUUUCCAAUACUUCUGAUACUUCUGUCAUCUAUCCAUCAACCUUUUUCAAAACCUAUUACAAGUCACACAAUAGGGGUCUCUUAGAGGCAUUGUUUUGCUGCCAUUUUACAGCAUUGAUGCUGUAGCUGCCAAUUGUCUUGACGGCAUGUUGUGAUGGUCUCAGGAUCUCCCCUACCGGGCUAGAUCAAGAAAACCCCUGGAAAGUUAGUUACUAGGGGCAGAGAGUCAAGCAUAAGAUGCCCAUCAAUGAGAAGGGAAAAGAGAGAGGAGUCAAUGGGAGGUGCUCUGUGGCAUGAUAGGAACAGGAAUUAAAAGCUGGCCAGUGUCCUUGAUGUACCCACCAGGGCUGAGCUGGUAUGAUUCAUUCUUUCUCUUCACCUUGCUGCCCUUUGUCUCCUGAGUAUUUAAAGACGUGGAGUUCAGGCCAGUCUUGGUGGCUCAUGCCUGUAAUCCCAGCACUUUAGGAGGCCGAGGCGGGUGGAUCA
This 4989-nucleotide long non-coding RNA is filed under the name Homo sapiens (human). Its description in RNAcentral is "HSALNT0354616". The record is from RNAcentral. Lineage: Eukaryota; Metazoa; Chordata; Mammalia; Primates; Hominidae.